GGCUGAGUAACGCGUAAGGGACCUGACCCUGGGAGGGGGAUAACCCACCGAAAGGUGGGCUAAUACCCCGUACGUUGGGAUAGUCAGGAAAGCUUCGGGCGCCCGGGGAGGGCCUUGCGUCCUAUCAGGUAGUUGGCGGGGUAACGGCCCACCAAGCCUAAGACGGGUAACCGGUGUGAGACCAUGAACGGUCAUAGUGGGGACUGAGACUUGGCCCCCACUCCUACGGGAGGCAGCAGCACGGAAUUUUGCGCAAUGGGCGAAAGCCUGACGCAGCGACUCCGCUUGGGGGAAGAAGGCCUUCCGGUUGUAAACUCCUUUUCUGGGGGAAGAGCGGUACCCCAGGAAUAAGCCCCGGCUAACUACGUGCCCUUAUCCGCGGUAAUACGUACGGGGCCAGCGCUGUCCUGAAUUACUGGUUGUAAAGGGCUCGUAGGCUUCUUCGAAGUCUCC
This 453-nucleotide ribosomal RNA is filed under the name uncultured bacterium. RNAcentral's name for it is "bacterial SSU rRNA". It matches the Rfam family "Bacterial small subunit ribosomal RNA", at positions 104 to 592 of the family's 1533-position model. The record is from RNAcentral.